CAAUAGCGUAUAUUAAAGUUGUUGCGGUUAAAAAGCUCGUAGUUGGAUUUCUGCUGAGAACGACCGGUCCGCCCUUUGGGUGUGUAUCUGGCUCUUUCUUGGCAUCUUCUUGGUGAACGUUGCUGCACUUGACUGUGUGGGGCGCUACCCAGGACUUUUACUUUGAGGAAAUUAGAGUGUUUCAAGCAGGCAUACGCCUUGAAUACAUUAGCAUGGAAUAAUAAGAUAGGACCUCGGUUCUAUUUUGUUGGUUUCUAGAGCUGAGGUAAUGAUUAAUAGGGAUAGUUGGGGGCAUUCGUAUUUAACUGUCAGAAGUGAAAUUCUUGGAUUUGUUAAAGACGGACUACUGCGAAAGCAUUUGCCAAGGAUGUUUUCAUUGA
Molecule: ribosomal RNA, 380 nt
Filed under: uncultured eukaryote
Lineage: Eukaryota
Description: partial 18S ribosomal RNA
Rfam family: Eukaryotic small subunit ribosomal RNA
Source: RNAcentral